UACGGAGGAUGCGAGCGUUAUCCGGAUUUAUUGGGUUUAAAGGGUGCGUAGGCGGGCAUUUAAGCCGGCGGUCAAAUGUCGGGGCUCAACCCCGUCGUGCCGUUGAAACUGAUGUUCUUGAGUGGGCGAGAAGUAUGCGGAAUGCGUGGUGUAGCGGUGAAAUGCAUAGAUAUCACGCAGAACUCCGAUUGCGAAGGCAGCAUACCGGCGCCCAACUGACGCUGAAGCACGAAAGCGUGGGUAUCGAACAGG
RNAcentral lists this ribosomal RNA (252 nucleotides) under uncultured Bacteroidales bacterium. RNAcentral describes it as "partial 16S ribosomal RNA". It matches the Rfam family "Bacterial small subunit ribosomal RNA", at positions 524 to 776 of the family's 1533-position model. The record is from RNAcentral. Lineage: Bacteria; Pseudomonadati; Bacteroidota; Bacteroidia; Bacteroidales.